This 497-nucleotide ribosomal RNA is filed under the name uncultured bacterium. Its description in RNAcentral is "partial 16S ribosomal RNA". It matches the Rfam family "Bacterial small subunit ribosomal RNA", at positions 28 to 507 of the family's 1533-position model. The record is from RNAcentral.
GAUGAACGCUGGCGGCGUGCCUAAUACAUGCAAGUAGAACGCUGAAGGAAGGAGCUUGCUCUUUCCGGAUGAGUUGCGAACGGGUGAGUAACGCGUAGGUAACCUGCCUGGUAGCGGGGGAUAACUAUUGGAAACGAUAGCUAAUACCGCAUAACAGUAGAUGUUGCAUGACACCUAUUUGAAAGGGGCAAUUGCUCCACUACCAGAUGGACCUGCGUUGUAUUAGCUAGUUGGUGAGGUAACGGCUCACCAAGGCGACGAUACAUAGCCGACCUGAGAGGGUGAUCGGCCACACUGGGACUGAGACACGGCCCAGACUCCUACGGGAGGCAGCAGUAGGGAAUCUUCGGCAAUGGACGGAAGUCUGACCGAGCAACGCCGCGUGAGUGAAGAAGGUUUUCGGAUCGUAAAGCUCUGUUGUAAGAGAAGAACGAGUGUGAGAGUGGAAAGUUCACACUGUGACGGUAUCUUACCAGAAAGAGACGGCUAACUACGUG